Long non-coding RNA from Neltuma alba, 94 nucleotides. RefSeq lists it as uncharacterized. Lineage: Eukaryota; Viridiplantae; Streptophyta; Magnoliopsida; Fabales; Fabaceae. The record is from RefSeq and is a predicted model, not a curated record. The transcript has 3 exons.
CCUUCUCUUUAUCCUUUGCUAUCUUAUGUUCUUAAGUUUUCUUCUUACUCCUUUCUGCUUCCAACCAUUAAGGUUGCUUGCUCUACUACAUCCA